UAGUUCAGCACUAAGUCACUUUGUCUUAAUGGCAAAUGUGAGAUGCAGUGUAUGGAAUGUCAAAUUUCUAGUAUGAGAAAUUAACGAUUUAAGUCCUUCUUAAAUGAGGCCAUUUACCCAAAGAGGGUGCCAGGCCCGUAUAACGUUAAUGAUUACUAGAUGGCAUUUCCAAAGAGUCGUGUUGCUUGAUAGUGCAGCACUAAGUGGGUGGUAAACUCCAUCUAAAACUAAAUAUAACCAUGAGACCGAUAGUAAACAAGUACCGUGAGGGAAAGUUGAAAAGAACUCUGAAUAGAGAGUUAAAUAGUACGUGAAACUGCUUAGAGGUUAAGCCCGAUGAACCUGAAUAUCCAUUAUAGAAAAUUCAUCAUUAUGAUUUUAAUAUUUAUAAUAUUAUAAUAAUGGUGUGCAUUUUUUCUAUAAAAGGACAUUGUAAUCUAUUAACAUCAAAUAUUUAUCAAAAGAUCAAUUGCAAAUGUUUAUUCAAAUUAUUUUGCUUGCAAUUUAACAUAGAAUAAAUGCUUUUGAUUUGAUAAAGUGUUGAUAGAUUUAUUAUAUAUAGUGCUUGAAUAUUUAUAUUCUAUAAUAGCAUAUUAAUCAUUGAUUUUUAUGUUUAUUAUAUGCACUUAUAUGAUUAACAAUGCGAAAGAUUCAGGAUACCUUCGGGACCCGUCUUGAAACACGGACCAAGGAGUCUAACAUAUUUGCAAGUUAUUGGGAAUAAAAACCUAAUAGCGAAAUUAACAUAACUUAUUUAAUGGGAUUAAUUUUUAGCCUAUUUAUAGUCUAUUAAUUCAAUCCCGGGGCGUUCUAUAUAGUUAUGUAUAAUAAUAUUUAUAUUAUUUAUACCUCUAACUAGAGCGUACCUUGAGCAUAUAUGCUGUGACCCGAAAGAUGGUGAACUAUACUUGAUCAGGUUGAAGUCAGGGGAAACCCUGAUGGAAGACCGA
RNAcentral lists this ribosomal RNA (950 nucleotides) under Cochliomyia minima. RNAcentral describes it as "eukaryotic LSU rRNA". It matches the Rfam family "Eukaryotic large subunit ribosomal RNA", at positions 104 to 878 of the family's 3401-position model. Lineage: Eukaryota; Metazoa; Arthropoda; Insecta; Diptera; Calliphoridae. The record is from RNAcentral.